UACGUAGGUGGCAAGCGUUGUCCGGAAUUAUUGGGCGUAAAGCGCGCGCAGGCGGUUCUUUAGGUCUGAUGUGAAAGCCCACGGCUCAACCGUGGAGGGUCAUUGGAAACUGGAGAACUUGAGUACAGAAGAGGAAAGCGGAAUUCCACGUGUAGCGGUGAAAUGCGUAGAGAUGUGGAGGAACACCAAUGGCGAAGGCAGCUUGCUGGGACGGUACUGACGCUGAGGCGCGAAAGCGUGGGGAGCAAACAGG
This 253-nucleotide ribosomal RNA is filed under the name uncultured bacterium. Its description in RNAcentral is "partial 16S ribosomal RNA". It matches the Rfam family "Bacterial small subunit ribosomal RNA", at positions 524 to 776 of the family's 1533-position model. The record is from RNAcentral.